GAUGAACGCUGGCGGCGUGCCUAAUACAUGCAAGUCGAGCGAACAGAUGAGGCGCUUGCUCCUCUGACGUUAGCCGAGGACGGGUGAAUAACGCGUGUAUCACCUACCUAUAAGACUGAGAUAACUUCGGGACACCGGAGCUAAUACCGGAUAAUAUAUUGAACCGCAUGGUUCAAUAGUGAAAGACGGCUUUGCUGGCACUUCUAGAUGGAUCCGCGCCGCAUUAGCUAGUUGGUAAGGUAAAGGCUUACCAAGGCAACGAUGCGUAGCCGACCUGAGAGGGUGAUCGGCCACACUGGAGCGUAGACACGCUCCAGACUCCUACGGGAGGCAGCAGUAGGGAAUCUUCCGCAAUGGUCGAAAGCCUGACGGAGCAACGCCGCGUGAGUGAUGAAGGUCUUCGGAUCGUAAAACUCGGUUAUGAGGGAAGAACAAAUGUGUAAGUAACUAUGCACGUCUUGACGGUACCUAGUCAGAAAGCCACGGCUAACUACGUG
This 497-nucleotide ribosomal RNA is filed under the name uncultured bacterium. Its description in RNAcentral is "partial 16S ribosomal RNA". It matches the Rfam family "Bacterial small subunit ribosomal RNA", at positions 28 to 507 of the family's 1533-position model. The record is from RNAcentral.